UCCGGGAAGAAGCGGCGGUGAACUGGCCGUGGAGGCCAACGGCAAACAUCCCAUGCCAUGCCAUUGCCAUGCCUGCGGCUGCAGGCCCGCGGCAGGGGAUGGCGACGGUCGACGGAGGCACACCACACACACUAACACUGCAGUGCAUUGAAGCCCAGGACACGCACAGUGCCCUGCCCUGCCCUGUCUACGACCUAUCGCCUAUAGUGGCCGGAAUCAAUCGGAUCGUACGUGGUACUACUGCUACGGAGUACGUUCGUCGUUACCCCUGCUGCUGGCUGUCCCGCAUCGCUUGCGCUCGAGGCAUGUCGUAGCGUGAGCUAGAGUCGCCCAGUCCUCCAGCUCUGUCUCCAUCGCGCUCGGCCUCGGCCCCCUAGCGAUCGAUGGGUCCUUCAAUGCGGCCCAUAAAUGCCCCAACCCCCCCUUUGUUUCGCCGGUUGGUUGGCGAAUUCAUUGCGUGCCCCCGCGAGAGCGCGUGCUGCCAGUUCCUUCCAUAUGUACCCACGCCAUGCCAUGCCAUGGACGCCGCAUACCACCAACGCGCUUCGCACCCCCCAACCUGCCUCCCUCCUCGUCAUCUUCCUCUUCCUCGGCCUCAUCUCCCAUCCGUCUCUAUUUUGCAUUGCCUCCAUGAAAGAGAAUUAGGGAAAGCCAUGUUAAAGAAGCCGGCAUAUUUUUCUGCCUCUCCGGCCGGCCAUCUCUUCUCCAAACUCCUUCCGGCCGCGCGCGUGAAACAAAUCGGCGCUCUAAUUCGCUGUGGUAUAUCUCUCCAUGUCGUACUCGCUCGACCAUGGGUGCAUGUCGUCAGUUCUUCGGCAGAUCAAGUACCUGCAGCUGGGCUGCAACAGGAGGGCGAUGCAGGGGAACUACGCUCUGGCGGUGAGAUGAUGAGAGCGAACACUGUGCAGUUGAUAAAGAUGUGUGAGUCGGCCAGCCAAAAGAUCACAGGGGAGUGACCAAGACUUCACUGAUGGUUUUGAGGGUCUUUGGCAGUCUUAUGUCUACCGCCGUCUGGCUUUGCUUGGGUUUGUAAUAGAUGUGUUGGUGGUGAUUUGUGUAUUGCUAGAGUGGUGCCAUGGCAUUCGGUUCGAUGACGAGCGAAUGUUCCAUGAGUCUUCUAGCAAUACUUGUACUUUCGUUUUAUCUUUUUCUUCCCUGAAUUGUUUCUGAAACUGUUGUAUUUCCGUUCUUUGUAAUGGCAAGGGGUUGUUUUGCCCGACUCAAAAAAAUGUCUCUCUUUUCA
Molecule: long non-coding RNA, 1243 nt
Organism: Hordeum vulgare subsp. vulgare (domesticated barley)
Lineage: Eukaryota; Viridiplantae; Streptophyta; Magnoliopsida; Poales; Poaceae
Exons: 2
Source: RefSeq, a predicted model, not a curated record